This 478-nucleotide ribosomal RNA is filed under the name uncultured Planctomycetales bacterium. RNAcentral describes it as "bacterial SSU rRNA". It matches the Rfam family "Bacterial small subunit ribosomal RNA", at positions 364 to 832 of the family's 1533-position model. Lineage: Bacteria; Pseudomonadati; Planctomycetota; Planctomycetia; Planctomycetales. The record is from RNAcentral.
UUUCGCAAUGCCCGAAAGGGUGACGAAGCGACGCCGCGUGUGGGAAGAAGGCCUUCGGGUUGUAAACCACUGUCGGGAGUUAGGAAAUGCAGGUGCGUUAAUAGCGCACUUGCUUGACUGAGGCUCCAGAGGAAGCCACGGCUAACUCUGUGCCAGCAGCCGCGGUAAUACAGAGGCGGCAAGCGUUGUUCGGAAUUAUUGGGCGUAAAGAGCACGUAGGCGGCCUUGCAAGUCAGUUGUGAAAGCCUUCCGCUUAACGGAAGAACGGCAUCUGAUACUACAGGGCUUGAGUACGGGAGGGGAGAGUGGAACUUCUGGUGGAGCGGUGAAAUGCGUAGAUAUCAGAAGGAACGCCGGCGGCGAAAGCGACUCUCUGGUCCGAAACUGACGCUGAGUGUGCGAAAGCUAGGGGAGCAAACGGGAUUAGAUACCCCGGUAGUCCUAGCCGUAAACGAUGGGCACUAAGUAGAGGGGUUUU